RNAcentral lists this ribosomal RNA (466 nucleotides) under uncultured bacterium. Its description in RNAcentral is "partial 16S ribosomal RNA". It matches the Rfam family "Bacterial small subunit ribosomal RNA", at positions 28 to 507 of the family's 1533-position model. The record is from RNAcentral.
GAUGAACGCUGGCGGCGUGCUUAACACAUGCAAGUCGAACGAUGAAGCCCAGCUUGCUGGGUGGAUUAGUGGCGAACGGGUGAGUAACACGUGAGUAACCUGCCCUUAACUCUGGGAUAAGCCUGGGAAACUGGGUCUAAUACCGGAUAGGAGCGCCUACCGCAUGGUGGGUGUUGGAAAGAUUUAUCGGUUUUGGAUGGACUCGCGGCCUAUCAGCUUGUUGGUGAGGUAAUGGCUCACCAAGGCGACGACGGGUAGCCGGCCUGAGAGGGUGACCGGCCACACUGGGACUGAGACACGGCGCAGACUCGUACGGGAGGCAGCAGUGGGGAAUAUUGCACAAUGGGCGAAAGCCUGAUGCAGCGACGCCGCGUGAGGGAUGACGGCCUUCGGGUGGUAAACCUCUUUCAGUAGGGAAGAAGCGAAAGUGACGGUACCUGCAGAAGAAGCACCGGCUAACUACGUG